GGGCCCGCACAAGCGGUGGAGCAUGCGGUUUAAUUCGAUAAUCCGCGAGGAACCUUACCAACCUUUGACAUAUUUGUCGCGAGUGUAGAGAUACACUUUUCAUCUAGGAUGGACAUUUACAGGGUUGCAUGGUCGUCGUCAGCUCGUGUCGUGAGAUGUUGGGUUAAGUCCCGCAACGAGCGCAACCCCUUUCUUUAUUUGCCAUCAGGUUAUGCUGGGAACUAUAAAGAUACUGCCGGUGUUAAACCGGAGGAAGGCGGGGACGAUGUCAGAUCAUCAUGGCCUUUAUAGGUUGGGCUACACGUGUGCUACAAUGGCGUCUACAACGGGUUGCGAUUCAGUAAUGAUAAGCUAA
This 355-nucleotide ribosomal RNA is filed under the name uncultured bacterium. RNAcentral describes it as "bacterial SSU rRNA". It matches the Rfam family "Bacterial small subunit ribosomal RNA", at positions 917 to 1271 of the family's 1533-position model. The record is from RNAcentral.